Molecule: ribosomal RNA, 305 nt
Filed under: uncultured bacterium
Lineage: Bacteria
Description: bacterial SSU rRNA
Rfam family: Bacterial small subunit ribosomal RNA
Source: RNAcentral
UUCCUACGGGGGGCAGCAGUGGGGGAUAUUGCACAAUGGGGGAAACCCUGAUGCAGCGACGCCGCGUGUGGGAAGACGGUCCUCUGGAUUGUAAACCACUGUCCCCAGGGACGAAGAUGACGGUACCUGGGGAGGAAGCUCCGGCUAACUACGUGCCAGCAGCCGCGGUAAUACGUAGGGGGCUAGCGUUAUCCGGAAUUACUGGGCGUAAAGGGUGCGUAGGUGGUUUCUUAAGUCAGAGGUGAAAGGCUACGGCUCAACCGUAGUAAGCCUUUGAAACUGGGGAACUUGAGUGCAGGAGAGGG